AGCAGCCGCGGUAAUUCCAGCUCCAAUAGCGUAUAUUAAAGUUGUUGCAGUUAAAAAGCUCGUAGUUGAAUUUCGGGAUCAAGGAAUCGGUCAUGCCUCGGUAUGUAAUGGUUUUAUUGGUUCUCACCUUCUAAAGAACCAUGAUGUCAUUCAUUUGAUGUUAUGGGGAAUUAGGACUGUUACCUUAGAAAAAUUAGAGUGUUUAAAGCAAGCUUACGCUUGAAUACAUUAGCAUGGAAUAAUGAAAUAGGACAUCCGAUUCUAUUUUGUUGGUUUCUAGGAUCGAUGUAAUGAUUAAUAGGGAUAGUUGGGGGCAUUAGUAUUCAAUUGUCAGAGGUGAAAUUCUUGGAUUUAUUGAAGACUAACUACUGCGAAAGCAUUUGCCAAGGAUGUUUCAUUAAUCAAGAACGAAAGUUAGGGGAUCGAAGACGAUCAGAUACCGUCGUAGUCUUAACCAAUAAACUAUGCCGACUAGGGAUCGGAUGUAUUGUUUUAUUUUUAGUGUACUUC
This 510-nucleotide unclassified non-coding RNA is filed under the name uncultured Glomus. Its description in RNAcentral is "SSU rRNA". It matches the Rfam family "Eukaryotic small subunit ribosomal RNA", at positions 569 to 1080 of the family's 1831-position model. Lineage: Eukaryota; Fungi; Glomeromycota; Glomeromycetes; Glomerales; Glomeraceae. The record is from RNAcentral.